UACGUAGGGCGCAAGCGUUGUCCGGAAUUAUUGGGCGUAAAGAGCUCGUAGGCGGUUUGUCGCGUCUGUCGUGAAAGCUUGGGGCUUAACCCCAAGUCUGCGGUGGAUACGGGCAGACUAGAGGCAGGUAGGGGAGAACGGAAUUCCCGGUGUAGCGGUGAAAUGCGCAGAUAUCGGGAGGAACACCGAUGGCGAAGGCAGAUCUCUGGGCCGUAACUGACGCUGAGGAGCGAAAGCAUGGGGAGCGAACAGG
RNAcentral lists this ribosomal RNA (253 nucleotides) under uncultured bacterium. Its description in RNAcentral is "partial 16S ribosomal RNA". It matches the Rfam family "Bacterial small subunit ribosomal RNA", at positions 524 to 776 of the family's 1533-position model. The record is from RNAcentral.